Molecule: ribosomal RNA, 502 nt
Filed under: uncultured bacterium
Lineage: Bacteria
Description: partial 16S ribosomal RNA
Rfam family: Bacterial small subunit ribosomal RNA
Source: RNAcentral
GACGAACGCUGGCGGCGUGCUUAACACAUGCAAGUCGAACGGUGAAGGGGUCUGCUUUUGUGGGCCCUGGAUGAGUGGCGAACGGGUGAGUAACACGUGAGUAACCUGCCCCCUUCUUCUGGAUAACCGCAUGAAAGUGUGGCUAAUACGGGAUAUUCUGGGUCUGUCGCAUGAUGGGUCUGGGAAAGAUUGCGCCUUUGGGUGUUUUUGGUGGGGGAUGGGCUCGCGGCCUAUCAGCUUGUUGGUGGGGUGAUGGCCUACCAAGGCGGUGACGGGUAGCCGGCCGGAGAGGGUGGACGGUCACACUGGGACUGAGACACGGCCCAGACUCCUACGGGAGGCAGCAGUGGGGAAGAUUGCACAAUGGGCGCAAGCCUGAUGCAGCGACGCCGCGUGAGGGAUGGAGGCCUUCGGGUUGUAAACCUCUUUCGCCAGUGAAGCAGGCCUGCUCCUUGUGGGUGGGUUGACGGUAGCUGGAGAAGAAGCGCCGGCUAACUACGUG